UAAAUAUACCGAUGAAAAAACGAACUUAGCCCACUUCACCCCGCUCUAUUUGAACAACAUGAGUUAAACCACUAACCUUGCAGUAUAUUAUAUAGACGGGAUGGGCCAGUUCAUAAAACGAACAGUUCGCAUAUCGAACACAGAAAACUAAAUCCCAGGGUCUUCGGAUCAUAAGCCGCACAAUACUUAAAAAAUAAAAUAUGUGAUUCUAUGCUCCCUUCGUUUUUUAGAGUUUUGGGUUUCUGAUACUAUAUUAUUGAAAGGUUUUUCCCUUCGUUGCACAACGCGUGGAUGGAACCAAAAUUUUAGCUACACCUGUAUAUGUGUGUAUAUAAUAUUCGAAUACAUAUAUAUAAAAUACUUUUGGCGGCCUCUUGGUAAUAAUAAAAUUUUGGAAAAACACAAUAAGUAAUUUUUAACAAAACCUGUAGAAAUUAUUAACAAAUCUCUGUAUUUUCUAUUCCUCAAUCCAGAGGCACGAACGGCUAAAACGUAACGCUAAUUUGUAUAUUUGUGCAAGACAGUCCAUCACUAGGUGCAGGUGUCGUCCCUAGAUUACCACAGGCCAGACAAAGCAACGGCAUCGGAAACCUACACAUGCACACGAAUAUACAAAGUACGGGGAGCGCAGAACCAAAGCGAAUGAAGCCGAAAGCGGACAGAGAGAGAGCGCCGACAGCGAAACAGAUAGGAGCAGCAGAUUCAGCAAGCGGGCAUAAGUCGAUCUGCAAGAGCGAGAGGGAAGAACGACAGAGGCUCGGAAUCAACGCUGCCUCAGCCGGCUGGAGCAGUGCAUCGCUUCCUCAACGUCGUCGUUACCUAUGUAUGUAUAAAAUCGAGGCAUCAGGCCAUUCUCGCAUUUAUUUUUGGAGCUUGCGCAGAGAGCUUAGAGAAGAAGAACGAUGUGUUUUAAGUAGACGCUAUUUGCUUGUUAGAUUAAGGAACUUACUGUAAGAGAGAGUACCGUAAGAGCUGUUAAGAAAUUAUUUAGUAAGAAACGAUUCUCGAUAAAACAAAUUUAGGAAUACGUUAUACAUUUUCAAAAUUUUGUACAGCAGCACAAAAUAAAUACUAGUACUAGAUCGAUAAAUACAA
Molecule: long non-coding RNA, 1095 nt
Organism: Drosophila miranda
Lineage: Eukaryota; Metazoa; Arthropoda; Insecta; Diptera; Drosophilidae
Exons: 2
Source: RefSeq, a predicted model, not a curated record